RNAcentral lists this non-coding RNA (23 nucleotides) under Arabidopsis thaliana (thale cress). The record is from RNAcentral. Lineage: Eukaryota; Viridiplantae; Streptophyta; Magnoliopsida; Brassicales; Brassicaceae.
CCAAUGAGGAUGCUCUUAACAUC